RNAcentral lists this long non-coding RNA (1478 nucleotides) under Homo sapiens (human). RNAcentral describes it as "non-protein coding lnc-TCAF2-1:1". The record is from RNAcentral. Lineage: Eukaryota; Metazoa; Chordata; Mammalia; Primates; Hominidae.
AAGAAUUGAAGAACAGAGCAAGCUAAGUCUCCAGAUUGAGAGGGCCCAAUACAAUCUACAUCUAGACACAAUAUUGUAAAAUUUUGGAAUAUUAAGGAUAGAAGGAAGAUAUUAAAGUGGCCAGGGAGAAAACAAAUGAGGUCAUCACGAUUAGCUCAACACAAAAAUGGAUGAGAAAUAGACUGCUAACAGAUUUGUCAUCAGCAACACUGAAUGCCAGAAGUCAAUGGAUCAACAUCUUCAGAGCUUAUGGAAAAUUUUUGUACCUAGAAUUUCAUAGUAAGGCAGACUGUCAAGAAGAACAUCAAAGUGAAGACAUUUUCUGUCAGGCAAAUUUUCAGAAAGUCUCCCUCCUUUGCACCCUUACUGAGGAAGUAUCUUGAGGAAAUUCUCCAGCAAAAUGAGGAUGAAAACCAGGAAAGAAGAAGAAAUGGGAUCCAUAAAACAGUGGACCUUACUUAGGAUGUCUCAUUCUAGAGUGACAGCCAAAAGGGUAUCUCACCCUAGAGUGACAGCUAUCCAGCAGACUAAUUUCAGAUGAGAGCAUACUGUCUCGGGCUUUCUGGGAAGAAUGUGCAUUCAGUGCCAUAGAUAGUAUCAUUGAAGAGCUGGGAUGCUUGAGAAGAUUAUUUAGUCAAGAAAAAAGAAAGACAAAUCAACAAUAUGUCAAAAAAUUCAGGUCCAAUUAUAGAGCAAAAUAAAAUGAGGCAUGAUUUUGAGUUAUUCAUGAAGAAUAAGAAGAGGCUUCAUAGGUACAUUUCCUUUUCUAUGGCACAGGCAUGAUGAUAUUGGGUGUGUAGGGAAGAAAAUAUCCUAGCUUAUACUAGGCUCCCAGUAAGAAGUAUUUAAAUAGCCAAAAUAAUGUGGAUAUCAUUUAUUAGUAUUCAGUGUUCAGAUCAGCCUAUUAACAAAGUGUGAAAGGUUUCAUUUUUUAUUCAGAACUGAAGUUGAAAGUAAUUAAUGCUGACAAAGGGAAAGAAAGCAGAAAGAGAUUGAGAAUUAGAGGAAGAGAAGUGGAAUCAAAGGUAGAGAUACUUAUAUAUUCAAAGUGGGGAUGAAAAGAUCUUCAGUUAAUGGAACAAGAACUAGAGGAUUAGUGUAUUGUUCAAAGCUAUAAAAUCAAACCAAUAGAUGUAUUAAAAAGUGAUGUAACUAUCAGACAUUUGGAGAGAGAUGGACAAAGGAAAGUGGCGAUAGUGUAAGUUAAAUCCUUAUCUUUUGUAAUGGGGAAUUAUUAAAGAUGUUGUAAAGUCAGUAAGUCAAGAAAUUAUUGCUCAAACAUAUUAUUUAAAGUUAGAAAGUUAGUUACCAGACGAUCUAAAAUAAAUAUUGUUAAAAGCAUUACCUCUAGGGAAUGGGAUUUAGAUUUAAAAAGGGUGGGAUGGGAAACUGUGUUUUUCAUUUUAAGUCCUUCUGUACUAUUUAAUUUUUUACCUUGUGCAUGUAUUACUUUGAAAAAAUUUUUAAUAAACCCAAAU